This is a long non-coding RNA of Ipomoea nil (Japanese morning glory), 101 nucleotides long. RefSeq lists it as uncharacterized. The transcript has 3 exons. The record is from RefSeq and is a predicted model, not a curated record. Lineage: Eukaryota; Viridiplantae; Streptophyta; Magnoliopsida; Solanales; Convolvulaceae.
AUGAUUUUACAAUUUGGAGGACUAAAUUGAGUACGUUUAAUUCUUCGGGACUAAAUCGAGUAUUAGCUAAUAGUCGGAGGACUAUUUUGGGUAUUAACUCA